UACAGAGGGUGCGAGCGUUGUUCGGAAUUAUUGGGCGUAAAGCGCAUGUAGGCGGGCCUUUAAGUCGCGUGUGAAAGCCCCAGGCUCAACCUGGGAAGUGCGCGCGAAACUGGAGACCUUGAGUGCUGGAGAGGGUGGCGGAAUUCCCGGUGUAGAGGUGAAAUUCGUAGAUAUCGGGAGGAACACCAGAGGCGAAGGCGGCCACCUGGACAGACACUGACGCUGAGACGCGAAAGCGUGGGGAGCAAACAGG
RNAcentral lists this ribosomal RNA (253 nucleotides) under uncultured bacterium. Its description in RNAcentral is "partial 16S ribosomal RNA". It matches the Rfam family "Bacterial small subunit ribosomal RNA", at positions 524 to 776 of the family's 1533-position model. The record is from RNAcentral.